AAUCAACGCUGGCGGCGUGCCUCAGACAUGCAAGUCGAACGCGAAAGUCCCCUUCGGGGGACGAAGUAGAGUGGCGCACGGGUGAGUAACACGUAGGUAAUCUACCUUCGGAUGGGGAAUAACAACCGGAAACGGUUGCUAAUACCGCAUAAUGCAGCGGCACCUAAUGGUGACAGUUGUUAAAGCGGGGGAUCGAAAGACCUCGCGUCUGAAGAGGAGCCUGCGGCGGAUUAGCAGUUGGUAAGGUAACGGCUUACCAAGGCGACGAUCCGUAGCCGGCCUGAGAGGGCGGUCGGCCACACUGACACUGACAUACGGGUCAGACUCCUACGGGAGGCAGCAGUCGGGAAUUUGGGCAAUGGGCGAAAGCCUGACCCAGCAACGCCGCGUGAAGGAUGAAAUCCCUCGGGAUGU
Molecule: ribosomal RNA, 414 nt
Filed under: uncultured bacterium
Lineage: Bacteria
Description: bacterial SSU rRNA
Rfam family: Bacterial small subunit ribosomal RNA
Source: RNAcentral